AGAACGAACGCUGGCGGCAGGCUUAACACAUGCAAGUCGAGCGCCCCGCAAGGGGAGCGGCAGACGGGUGAGUAACGCGUGGGAACAUACCCUCCGGUUCGGAAUAGCUCAGGGAAACUUGGAUUAAUACCGGAUACGGCCUAGCGGCGAAAGAUUGAUCGCCGGAGGAUUGGCCCGCGUCUGAUUAGCUAGUUGGUGGGGUAAUGGCCCACCAAGGCGACGAUCAGUAGCUGGUCUGAGAGGAUGAUCAGCCACAUUGGGACUGAGACACGGCCCAAACUCCUAACGGGAGGCAGCAGUGGGGAAUAUUGGACAAUGGGCGCAAGCCUGGAUCCAGCCAUGCCGCGUGAGUGAUGACGGCCUUAGGGUUGUAAAGCUCUUUCGCUAGGGACGAUAAUGACGGUACCUAGACAAGAAGCCCCGGACUAACGUUCGACGCCAGCAGCCGC
This 449-nucleotide ribosomal RNA is filed under the name uncultured bacterium. RNAcentral's name for it is "SSU rRNA". It matches the Rfam family "Bacterial small subunit ribosomal RNA", at positions 26 to 518 of the family's 1533-position model. The record is from RNAcentral.